Molecule: non-coding RNA, 75 nt
Submitted as: unclassified sequences
Source: Rfam
UAGUGUUGUAAGACCCUUCUGAAAAGGAUGAUGCCACCGAUUGGUGGACGUGACGAAGUAAGGAGGGGUUCACUA